Long non-coding RNA from Labeo rohita (rohu), 3077 nucleotides. RefSeq lists it as uncharacterized. The record is from RefSeq and is a predicted model, not a curated record. The transcript has 6 exons. Lineage: Eukaryota; Metazoa; Chordata; Actinopteri; Cypriniformes; Cyprinidae.
UAACAAUGGAGACAUAUGUAGAUGCAGUCAAAUCUAAGAAAAUUCCAAACCCUGGUUCGUCAUCCUUUGACACCAUUGCCGCUUCACGAGAGGACCCUUGAUACUUCCAAAGCUUCAUUUCUUCAUGGCUAUAUCAAGGACAUUUCAACCAUUCUUGGAGAAGUAUCAAACUGAUCAGCCGGUCAUGCCUUUCCUACACAAAGUCUUAACUGAAAUACUGAAGAGUCUUCUAAGACGCUUUGUCAAAAAAGAGCUACUGGAUGUCUCUGUGGUUAAACUGGCCAGAUUAGAUGCAACUGAUGUGCAGACCUGGGUCCCUCCUAAAGAUGUUGACAUUGGAAUAGGUGCUUCCUCUGUCCUUAAGGUACUGUAUAGCUGGAGACAAAGAAACAUUUAAAGGGAUAGUUCAGAAAUUAAAAUUUUGUCAUCAUUUACUCACCCUCAGGUUGUUCCAAACUUAUAAAAAUGUCUUUGUUAUGCUGAAUGCAAAGGAAGACAUUUAGAAGAAUGUCAGUAACAAAAUAGAUAUCAUCCCCCAUUGACUUUCAUAGUAUUUAUUUUUCCUACUAUAGUAGUCAGUGGGGAAUGAGAUGUUUGGUUGCUGACAUUCUUCUAAAUAUCAAAUAAACGUAUUAUAUAUCAAGUGAAAAUAAAUAGCAGCAUUUUCUGAGCAGUAUGCAAUUUACAAAUAUUACAAAUAAAUACAGAUAUUGCAAAUAUUGCUAGAUUUUAUUUACACUUUACAAAUAGAAGUGUUUAUGCAUUAAGUGUAGUUACAGGCUAUUUAUUUGGGGUGGACUGAGCAUACUUACCAACAAGCAAAACUAGCUACUGACGUGGAUGUAUGGGAUCAUAUUGUUGACUGAAAUAUUUUCAUAAAUAACACAUUACUCAGAUUCUAAAUAUUUUUUAAUUUUAUUUCUCAGACCUUUCCUUGUGUAAUGUUGAGUGAGAGGAGAGAGGCGAGCGGAUCCAAUAGCGAGCUUUUAUUAACAGGACGAGACAAAGACAUAGUCGUACAGGCAGGGUCAAGACAGGAGCAAACAGGUAGAUCGCAGGCAAGACGUAGAGAAUAAUCCUUAUAACGAUACAGAGUCCAGAAAGGCAGGCGGCGAGACAGACGAAACGAGAUGGCCAGGCGAAAAUACUAAACACAGGAAACUAGGAACACAGAACGCUAGGAAACUAGGAACUUAGAACACUAGGAAACGGCAACAACAACAAUAACACCAACAAUACUCCAUGGCUUGCAUGGGGAAAGUCCGGGGCUUUUAUAGAGCUGCUGAUUGGUCACGGGGCUGACGCAAUCAGCGCGAUGGAUACUGGGAGAUGUAGUCCGGGGUGUGGUGCAACAGUCAGAGUGUGUGGAUAAGGUGGGAGCGACAUCUGGUGGUGAGCGGUCCGCAGAACACCGACCAGAUUCGUGACACCUUGUCAAUAAUGUUAAAUAAACAAUUGAUUAAAUAAAAUGUAUAAAACAUUGCUAUUCAUCAUUUCUUUAUAUAUUUAAUGCACUGUAAAUGGAGCAUGUCUGGAACCUUCUUUUUUAUUUCUUCAGGGAUGUUAAUCAUCUCCACAACUUUUAGCUUUAUGUGCCAUUCAGAUAGUACUUGUAGGCUGAAAAUAGCCUAACAUUUUGUGUCAGGAUAUGGAAAAUAUUGUAUAAAUUGGUAGUCAAACUGAUAAAUAUGCAUGAGCAAUGAAUUAUUCUGUUUAUCUCUUAUAAAUCUCAACUUUCUAUUGUAUACCCACCUGUUUCCACUUAAACAAUUUAUAUUGUAACCAGUGUAAUUAUAAAGUUUAUAAAGUUCAGUGCCAUAAAAUGGUAUUUGUUUCUGGUUAGGAAAAAUAAUGGCCAAAAAACAAAACAAUACAAAAAGAAAGAAAAGAAAAAUGCCCUUAAAUGAAAUAAUUAAACGGCACAUGGAUGGUCUCAACGAGAUCAUCAAUGUUGUUUAAGCUGUCCUCCCUGAUUUGUCAUGCAAUUUGUGUGCAAUCAGCCAGUAAAUGAAUGUGACCUCUAAUUGGAGGAACAGAAAUUAAGGAAUAUAUAUAUACUGAUGACUUUUAUACAUUACCAAACCAGCCAACAAAAAAAAAUGAUGGAUUGUGUUAAAGUAAGGGAACUGGUAAAUGUUCUACAGCAUAACCUCUAUCCUGAAGGCUGCUCAAGCAAGGAACGGUAUCAUAUAAAGAGAAGGGCUGAAAAUUUUGCACUAAGGGGUAAGUGAGUGUGUCUUCAUUCUCAUCUCUAGAAACUCUGACCCUCAUUUACUCAUACACUGAAUAAUUCAGAUGGAGAGCUACAUUAAAUAUGUAGAAGACAAAAAGACCACAGUCAACACUUGGCAAAAGUUGUCCUUUCACCUGAAGAGGCACAUAACAUUUUUGUUGAGUUUCAUGCCAGUCCCCUUGGAGGACAUUGUGGCAUGGAAAAAACUCACCAUGCAAUUAUCACACGAUUUUACUGGCCUGGGAUGGAGCAGGACAUCCAUAAGUGGGUAGCUCAGUGCCCUCAGUGCCAGGCCAGGAGAGCCUCUAUAAAAGAAAAGAAGGCAUACACUCCUAUAACUGUGAGUGAGCCUCUGGAAUUAGUUGGGAUGGACUUAAUUGGGAAGCUUACGCUAACAGAAAGUGGCUACCAAUACAUUUGUGUAAUGGUGGAUUACUUUACCAAGUGGCCAGAAGCUUAACCACUUAAGUCCAAAAGUGCAGCAGAUGUCACAGAAUGCAUUAUUGACUUCUUUUACAAGUUUGGAGCACUGAAAAGACUGUUGACAGACCAGGGAAAAGAGUUUGUGAACAAGGUGAAUUACUCUGUAUGUGAGAAACUGGGGAUCAUGAGGAGUCUCUGUUCCCCAUACCACCCACAGACCAAUGGUCUUGUGGAGAAAUUGAAUGGAACAAUACAAAGAAGCCUGACUAAGAUGGUUGGCGAAAAGCCAUCAUCGUGGGACCAGCAUCUUAAAGCAACAUUGUUUGCUCUCCGCACAAAAAAACAGAUCACCACAAAAUAUUCCCCAUACUACCUCAUGUUUGGACGAGAGGCAAGAUAUCCAUGUGAGGUGCCCAGUGAU